Molecule: ribosomal RNA, 261 nt
Filed under: uncultured bacterium
Lineage: Bacteria
Description: partial small subunit ribosomal RNA
Rfam family: Bacterial small subunit ribosomal RNA
Source: RNAcentral
AGGACGAACGCUGGCGGCGUGCUUAACACAUGCAAGUCGAGCGAGGCCCCUUCCUUCGGGAGGGGAGCCCUAGCGGCGAACGGGUGAGUAACACGUGGGCAAUCUGCCCCUAGCACUGGGAUAACUCCGGGAAACCGGGGCUAAUACCGGAUAUGACCUCUGAGGGCAUCCUCUGGAGGUGGAAAGGAUUCUGGCUAGGGAUGAGCCCGCGGCCUAUCAGCUAGUUGGUGGGGUAAUGGCCUACCAAGGCGACGACGGGUA